This 497-nucleotide ribosomal RNA is filed under the name uncultured bacterium. RNAcentral's name for it is "partial 16S ribosomal RNA". It matches the Rfam family "Bacterial small subunit ribosomal RNA", at positions 28 to 507 of the family's 1533-position model. The record is from RNAcentral.
GAUGAACGCUGGCGGCGUGCCUAAUACAUGCAAGUCGAGCGAACAGACGAGGAGCUUGCUCCUCUGACGUUAGCGGCGGACGGGUGAGUAACACGUGGAUAACCUACCUAUAAGACUGGGAUAACUUCGGGAAACCGGAGCUAAUACCGGAUAAUAUAUUGAACCGCAUGGUUCAAUAGUGAAAGACGGUUUUGCUGUCACUUAUAGAUGGAUCCGCGCCGCAUUAGCUAGUUGGUAAGGUAACGGCUUACCAAGGCGACGAUGCGUAGCCGACCUGAGAGGGGGAUCGGCCACACUGGAACUGAGACACGGUCCAGACUCCUACGGGAGGCAGCAGUAGGGAAUCUGCCGCAAUGGGCGAAAGCCUGACGGAGCAACGCCGCGUGAGUGAUGAAGGUCUUCGGAUCGUAAAACUCUGUUAUUAGGGAAGAACAAAUGUGUAAGUAACUAUGCACGUCUUGACGGUACCUAAUCAGAAAGCCACGGCUAACUACGUG